AACUGAACUUUAGUGCACUGCCCUAUUCCAUCAUUACCAUGUUUCUCCAGGCCGUUUGGUAAUUUUCAGACUCUUCUUGUGACUCUUGAAAAUGACCUAGGAGACAAGGAUGCCUGGACUCCUGCCCUCUCCUAGGCUCUCAAUGCCAUCUCAUCUUCAUCCAACUCACCCUCUUCUGCCUGGCUCUUGUUUUAUUGAGUGCCAUCUGUCCACUUCGCCGUGCCCUCUGGAACCCUCUUUCAUUAUCAAUAUACUCCAUUAUCUACUCCACACCAAGUUUUGCUCUUUUCUGUAUGUUUCCUUAUCUUAGUUAAUGACAACACCAUCCUCCUCCUGCUCUCUAAGUCAUCAUCCCUGAUUACUCCCUCUCAAGUACCCUCCACUUCAAAUUAGUCACCAAUUCGUAUGAAUUCUAGUUCUGAACUGUCUCACAAAUCUGACAUCAUCAUCUCUCCUCUAGGCUGUUAAAAUAACUCCUUGAACACCCACCUUUGAAUAUAGUCUGUACUUUAAAAAGUUUUCUGAAUGCAGUGCUUAUUAGUUUUAAUCUUUCCCAAAUGUCUGUGCCGUCAUUCUUGGCUUCACCCCUGCUUGUUUCUAUUCUUCCUGGCUUUAAUCUCACAUUUGGAUAAAGAUAUUUGAGAUGUUUUUCUAUGCAAUGUUUAUAGUGGGCUGUCUUUUGAAAGACCAACAGUGAUAGCCUUAAGAAUGCAUUUCAAUUAAUGGAAGGAGAAGAAACUCUGAAGUGUAUUGGAUGAGGGACGAACUGGACUGUUAACGUUUCAGCUGAAGAAUUUACAAGGAAGGCAUAAGUGGAAUACAGAACAGUGAAGCUUUAUUCAAGAUAAUGUUAUACUCAUGAAUCACGCCACCUAAUACCUGCACUGCUUAGACAUGCAGAACAUAAAGCGUCUUCUCAAGAUAUCUCAGUAAAAGAUAUCUCUUCUUAUAUACAAAAGUGGAACUUGUUUUGUGCAAUCACUUCUUGGUACAGUUACAAUAGAAAAUUCUCAGAUGUACUCCACUACUUUAAAUAGAUUCCUGCAUCAUUGAAAAAAAAUUUCCAAGUCAACAUAGUCUUAAAACCUAGUCAAUCUUUUCUUUAACAUCUUGAAUGAAUAAAAGCUCACUCCCCUUAUUACUACUU
Long non-coding RNA from Pongo pygmaeus (Bornean orangutan), 1147 nucleotides. RefSeq lists it as uncharacterized. NCBI's taxonomy places the organism in Eukaryota, Metazoa, Chordata, Mammalia, Primates, Hominidae. The transcript has 3 exons. The record is from RefSeq and is a predicted model, not a curated record.